GUUCGCAUCUUAAAGGCUGAUGCCUAUUCUGUUGGCUUUUCGAGACAUGGCAUUUGAAAGAUUUUAUCAUAUUGUAGUUAAUGCACAAUGUGGGAUAUGGAUAUUUGUUGAAGUAUCAUUGUAUUCUAAGCAAUUGCUCUUUCUUAGUAUGCAUCUCAUCCACUUGUUUACAUCUGACUGUUCCAUUCUGCUUGUUUAUAUGAUGUCUAGAAGGUUUCAUCUUAUCUUGGAGAUUGGAACC
RNAcentral lists this long non-coding RNA (241 nucleotides) under Elaeis guineensis (African oil palm). Its description in RNAcentral is "long non-coding RNA (EGUI_LNC020908)". Lineage: Eukaryota; Viridiplantae; Streptophyta; Magnoliopsida; Arecales; Arecaceae. The record is from RNAcentral.